RNAcentral lists this ribosomal RNA (483 nucleotides) under uncultured bacterium. RNAcentral describes it as "bacterial SSU rRNA". It matches the Rfam family "Bacterial small subunit ribosomal RNA", at positions 29 to 507 of the family's 1533-position model. The record is from RNAcentral.
AUGAACGCUGGCGGCGUGCUUAACACAUGCAAGUCGAACGAAGCACUAUUGAAAAGAUUCUUCGGAUGAUGGAUAUAGUGACUGAGUGGCGGACGGGUGAGUAACGCGUGGGUAACCUGCCUCAUACGAGGGGGAUAACAGUUAGAAAUGACUGCUAAUACCGCAUAAGCGCACAGUACUGCAUGGUACAGUGUAGAAAACUCCGGUGGUAUGAGAUUCGGCCCGCGGAAGAUUAGGUAGUUGGUGGGGUAAUGGCCUACCAAGCCAACGAUCUAUAGCUGGUCUGAGAGGACGAACAGCCACAUUGGAACUGAGACACGGUCCAGACUCCUACGGGGAGGCAGCAGGUGGGGAAUAUUGCACAAUGGGGGAAACCCUGAUGCAGCGACGCCGCGUGAGUGAAGAAGUAUUUCGGUAUGUAAAGCUCUAUCAGCAGGGAAGAUAAUGACGGUACCUGACUAAGAAGCCCCGGCUAACUACGUG